Molecule: unclassified non-coding RNA, 74 nt
Filed under: Candidatus Kentrum sp. DK
Lineage: Bacteria; Pseudomonadati; Pseudomonadota; Gammaproteobacteria
Source: RNAcentral
AGGAACCGGAUGCGGGAAAACUGCACGUCCGGGUCUGUGCGGGGGGCGCCCGGUAACGGGCGUCCCUACCGAAG